AUACGUAGGUGACAAGCGUUAUCCGGAUUUACUGGGCGUAAAGGGCGUGUAGGCGGUCUUGCAAGUCAGAAGUGAAAUUCCUGAGCUCAACUCGGGCGCUGCUUCUGAAACUGCAGGACUUGAGUGCUGGAGGGGAUAGCGGAAUUCCUAGUGGAGCGGUAAAAUGCGCAGAUAUUAGGAAGAACACCGGUGGCGAAGGCGGCUACCUGGACAGUAACUGACGCUGAGGCGCGAAAGCGUGGGGAGCAAACAGGAUUAGAUACCCUGGUAGUCCACGCCGUAAACGACGAAUACUAGGUGUAGGGGGUAUCGACUCCCUCUGUGCCGCAGUUAACACAAUAAGUAUUCCGCCUGGGGAGUACGGCCGCAAGGUUGAAACUCAAAUGAAUUGACGGGG
This 397-nucleotide ribosomal RNA is filed under the name uncultured bacterium. RNAcentral describes it as "partial 16S ribosomal RNA". It matches the Rfam family "Bacterial small subunit ribosomal RNA", at positions 523 to 918 of the family's 1533-position model. The record is from RNAcentral.